AUUGUACUCCCUCCGUCCGGAAAUACUUGUCAUUGGAAUAGAUGUAUCUAGAUGUAUUUUGGGUGUAAGUAUAUCCAUUUUCAUCCAUUUUGAUGACAUGUAAUUCCGGACGGAGGGAGUAAUAU
Molecule: non-coding RNA, 125 nt
Organism: Triticum aestivum (bread wheat)
Lineage: Eukaryota; Viridiplantae; Streptophyta; Magnoliopsida; Poales; Poaceae
Source: Rfam